UAGUCCACGCCCUAAACGAUGUCAACUAGCUGUUGGGGCCGUUAGGCCUUAGUAGCGCAGCUAACGCGUGAAGUUGACCGCCUGGGGAGUACGGUCGCAAGAUUAAAACUCAAAGGAAUUGACGGGGACCCGCACAAGCGGUGGAUGAUGUGGAUUAAUUCGAUGCAACGCGAAAAACCUUACCUACCCUUGACAUGUCUGGAAAGCCGAAGAGAUUUGGCCGUGCUCGCAAGAGAACCGGAACAC
RNAcentral lists this ribosomal RNA (246 nucleotides) under uncultured bacterium. Its description in RNAcentral is "partial 16S ribosomal RNA". It matches the Rfam family "Bacterial small subunit ribosomal RNA", at positions 791 to 1035 of the family's 1533-position model. The record is from RNAcentral.